Oreochromis aureus is the source of this 1131-nucleotide long non-coding RNA. The record is from Ensembl. NCBI's taxonomy places the organism in Eukaryota, Metazoa, Chordata, Actinopteri, Cichliformes, Cichlidae.
CCAGAAGCUGCGUCAGCUGCCCAGCCAGAAGCUGCGUCAGCUGCCCAGCCAGAAGCUGCGUCAGCUGCCCAGCCAGAAGCUGCGUCAGCUGCCCAGCCAGAAGCUGCGUUUUCAUCACAGCCACCAGUCCAGCCAGCUGUUCAGUCGCCCUCAGCAGCCCAGUCUCCUGUGUUGCCACUAGUCCAGCCAUUAGCGCGGCCUGCACCUCAGCCAUUAGCGUGGCUGGCAGUUCAGUUAACUACACAGGUUGCAGCUCAACAGUCUAUUCAGCCACUAUGUCCACCCACUCAUUCUAAGGAGGAGGAUAGCCCUGCUAAGACUUUUGUUGUUCCUCUAGACCUGGCCUAUUUAGAGACUGUUACUCUCUCCAGGGUGUCCCCAGAGGCUGAAGCCCUCAGUUAACUCUGGACACGAAGAAGCCAGCGCAACCUGUUUCUCCUGGGAACUCAUUCGGGUUGUCUCAGUGACUGGUCCCUGCUGAGAGGUCAGGGGAGUUAACUCUGCCACCGUUCUAUGCUGGAAGCUCUAGUGAGCUCAUUCGGCCAGCUAAGGACUGCAUCCUGCUGUUACUGCCUGAGCAGAGCCUCUGUCCUGCGCAGCUCCAAUCAGCUUCAUCUCUGUUCCCCGUGGUCGGCCUCCAGACCUCUCUCGUCUCUGUCACUGGCCUCCGCGUCGGCCUCCUGAAUGGUCUCAUGACAGCUUUCAAAUGAACCUUAAAGAUUUUCCCAGGAAUACCUCAAAUAACAACCGUACCUCAGACUUCAUUUUAAGAAAAUUUAAAUGAUACAGUGGAAAGUUUCUGCCUCUGUGAUUAUCUGCCUAAGACUGUAAAUGUUGGGUUUGAUUUUAAUUGUUAACAAGUCUGAUGUUGACUACUUGGUAGUGAUGCUAAAAAAAACCCCAAUCAUUUUAUUUUCAGCUUUUCUACCAUCACCUGAAGAACACCUGAAGUCAGAUCAAUUAAAGUGUAGGAUGCUGCUGAUGGCCACGUGAAGACUUGUUUUCAGAACUGAAGGAGGAAGUUUAGGAAAACCAGCACAUGAUGUAGAGAAAUUUCAGCACUGUGGCUCGACAGGAGCAGGUCCUGCCUUACCUGAACACCUUUGUCAGUGAUGGAGCUUCCUGUUUGUA